This 170-nucleotide ribosomal RNA is filed under the name uncultured bacterium. RNAcentral's name for it is "partial 16S ribosomal RNA". It matches the Rfam family "Bacterial small subunit ribosomal RNA", at positions 338 to 524 of the family's 1533-position model. The record is from RNAcentral.
CCUACGGGAGGCAGCAGUGGGGAAUAUUGCACAAUGGGGGAAACCCUGAUGCAGCAACGCCGCGUGAGUGAAGAAGGUUUUCGGAUUGUAAAGCUCUGUUAGCAGGGAAGAGGAAGGACGGUACCUGCAGAGGAAGCCACGGCUAACUCCGUGCCAGCAGCCGCGGUAAU